AAGCUCGUAGUUGAAUUUCGGGGUUCUACCGUUGGUCGGGCUAACCAGUCUGUACUAGCGUGUAGAAUUCCUACCUUCUGGGGAACCAUCAUGUUAUUAAUUUAGCGUGGUGGGAAACCAGGACCUUUACCUUGAAAAGAUUAGAGUGUUCAAAGCAGGCUUACGUCUGAAUACAUUAGCAUGGAAUAAUAAAAUAGGACGGUGGUCCUGUUUUGUUGGUUUCUGAAUCACCGUAAUGAUUAAUAGGGAUAGUUGGG
This 257-nucleotide ribosomal RNA is filed under the name uncultured Scutellospora. Its description in RNAcentral is "partial 18S ribosomal RNA". It matches the Rfam family "Eukaryotic small subunit ribosomal RNA", at positions 624 to 886 of the family's 1831-position model. The record is from RNAcentral. Lineage: Eukaryota; Fungi; Glomeromycota; Glomeromycetes; Diversisporales; Gigasporaceae.